UAUCCAAAUGCGAAGUAUGACUGUCUA
Molecule: non-coding RNA, 27 nt
Filed under: Bombyx mori (domestic silkworm)
Lineage: Eukaryota; Metazoa; Arthropoda; Insecta; Lepidoptera; Bombycidae
Source: RNAcentral